Long non-coding RNA from Carassius carassius (crucian carp), 822 nucleotides. RefSeq lists it as uncharacterized. NCBI's taxonomy places the organism in Eukaryota, Metazoa, Chordata, Actinopteri, Cypriniformes, Cyprinidae. The transcript is spliced from 3 exons. The record is from RefSeq and is a predicted model, not a curated record.
UUUAAGUCGUAUCUAAAUCAGUUUAGAGUGUAAUCUAAAUAUAUUCUAACUUAUUGUUUAUUAAGUGGGCUUUGUAUGUGAGCACAUUUUAAUCACAGAUUUUGCACUGGAUUUAUUGGCACAAAUCUCUAUAUCACAGAGCAAACGUUACUUCAUUCACUUAACUUACAUUCUAACUUGUUCCUCAACCUCAAAUACAGUUUUGUGUGUGUGUGAGAGAGAGAGAGAGAGAGAGAGAGAGAGAGUGUGUGUGUGUGUAUGUGUGUGUGGGUGUGAGAGAGAGAGAGAGGAAGAGGAGAGAGCAGUAGACAGAAUAUUUUUUAGUGUUUUGAAUGAAAAGUUGAAGGAUGUCCCAGGCUGAGAACAUAGAUAUGGUACACCUGCUUGUCAAGAUUCUAACGUUAAUGUCCCACUUCCAGGAACAUAAAGACGGACUGGUUUCACAUGCAGAUUUUGCAGCAUCUGCAUCUGAUAUUGAGAAGACACUCAAUCUACCUGCCAAUCCUCAUCUGAUUUUGCUGGGUUAGUGUGUCAUUACACAUGAUGAAGAGACAUUUACUGAUGUUUAAGAUAUAAAAUUGUAACAUUGCUGUUGUGCACGAUUGUUAAAAUUGCUUUUUUUUUUCUUUUUUUUUUGUGAGUGUCCAGUCAACACUUUUGACUGCAGUGAAUGUACUACUGUGUACUACAUCUUCAACCUGCAGUAUCAAGAGGCGGCUUGUUGCACGUAAGAAAGGUAAGUUUUUUUCAGUAUAUCAUCAUCUGAAACACUGUCAAAUGUGGUUUUAUUCGCAUGCCAGGCACGGAGAAAAUAGGAGAAAG